GGAUAUAAUUUUUUUUCAUUAGUUUUCAUGGUCAAAAUGAGAGAUCAGGUUUUUGAUCUUAAAAUAAAUCAAUAUUAAAUUUUUAUAGAGCGUUAAAGUUUUAGAAGCCAGGGGGUGGGACUACUUGAUUGACAGUCCGGUCUGGAAUGAUUGACAGGUCCUAUGGAGGAGGCAGCAGAGACUCUGCUCUCCUCGUUUGGAUUAAUUCUGAUAUAAUAACUGUUGGUUUAUUUAUCGGUGCAGCAGCAGAACAUUUUCCACAGACAGUUUUCCUGCCCGUUGGCUUGUUUUAACCAGUUUUCUACCUUCGGCUGAUUGUACCAGCAGACACUGAAAGGACUCUGAUAGUUCGAGUGAAAGUAGCAGUUCCUCCUGAAGGUCAGAGAUUGCAGCAUCUGAGGGCCUCUUCAAAAGAAGACGUAGUUGAUGAAGGCGUUCUGGAGCAGGACCAGAAAGACCACGACCAAGCAGCCUUGAGAUCUUAGACAGCGUCUCCCUCAGACCAAAGAACUACAGACUCUUCACAACCUGCUCAAACUCUUGGUACAGGACCUCACCACACGGGUCAAGAAGGUUUCCAUCUCAUUUCUACUCUGAAGCUCACCUUCUCCUGCUCAAACUGCUGACAAAUGUUUCUGCUGCUCUAAAGUCUGGUCUACAGAACUUCCUAAAAACUCUCAAAGUCUCUUCUGCUGCAGGUUGCUUUGUAGAACUGUUCCAGAAAACCUCACUAAACCACAUGGAGGAGCCUCAAGAUAGUCGUCCAAAUGAAACCAUACAAAAACCAAACUAGCACAACCCAAACACUAAAGUCUCCUGCAGCCUACCAGAGAACCUCUGAGAACAGAGAAUCAGGACAGGAACUCUUACCUUCUGGACAACCAACGCUGGUUCACAAACAAGAAUACAGAAUGUGUCUGACCAAAAACCUCUGAAGCCUCACUACAGCCAAGAUAAAGACACAACUCAGCUGCACCAAAUCCACUAAUCACUGCACACAUUAGCACCAUGUGCUAACUGUGGCUGAAGAACCACAUUUACCAAGACAACUAUCCAGUACAAAGCCCUAAAACACACCAAGAAACACAUUAAAGAUGAUUUUACUGCUGGAAGCUGCAAGCCAACGCCUAAAGAACAAACUAAAGCAAUGGAACCAAACCCAGUUCACUGGUGAAGAGAAACAGGGGAAAUGUUUGUCUGCAGCUAAAUAAAGCAGGAAGACACUGAGCUGCUCAGGUGUUCCUGAUAACACCAAGCUGCUCAGGUGUUCCUGAUAACACCAAGCAGCCACCUGGACAGCCAAUAGGAACACAGUUUACUGGAAGUCCAGAGGGCGG
This is a long non-coding RNA of Amphiprion ocellaris (clown anemonefish), 1337 nucleotides long. NCBI's taxonomy places the organism in Eukaryota, Metazoa, Chordata, Actinopteri, Pomacentridae. The record is from Ensembl.